GAAAUAUCCGAGGGACAUCCGAUCCUGCACGAUGACUUUAAGCUUUUACUAUGUACUUAAUAGUAAAUAUUAUGAUACGUGUUUAUUGUCAGUUAAAUUGCAGAGCAACUAAGAUAAAAGAUUUUUCUUGAGUAUUUGAAUAAAGAAAACAUUAUUGUGAUUGAAGAUGAAUAUAGACCCAAUGCUUUUGAUGUCUGUCGUUUUCGGGAUAAUUUCAGCAGCUGGACAAGAAAACAGGACUUGACGAGGAUUUGAAAUCUGCAUAUUAAUCAACAUAAUCAGCUGAUGAAAUAUAACCAAUUAAAGCGCUUUUGACAUUUUAUUGAUAAAGACAUGUAAACAUAUUAACACUUUUAUGACUAGUU
Molecule: long non-coding RNA, 365 nt
Organism: Mytilus trossulus (common blue mussel)
Lineage: Eukaryota; Metazoa; Mollusca; Bivalvia; Mytilida; Mytilidae
Exons: 3
Source: RefSeq, a predicted model, not a curated record